RNAcentral lists this ribosomal RNA (497 nucleotides) under uncultured bacterium. RNAcentral describes it as "partial 16S ribosomal RNA". It matches the Rfam family "Bacterial small subunit ribosomal RNA", at positions 28 to 507 of the family's 1533-position model. The record is from RNAcentral.
GAUGAACGCUGGCGGCGUGCCUAAUACAUGCAAGUCGAGCGAACAGACGAGGAGCUUGCUCCUCUGUCGUUAGCGGCGGACGGGUGUGUAACACGUGGAUAACCUACCUAUAAGACUGGGAUAACUUCGGGAAACGGGAGCUAAUACCGGAUAAUAUAUUGAACCGCAUGGUUCAAUAGUGAAAGUCGGUUUUGGUGUCACUUAUAGAUGGAUCCGCGCCGCAUUAGCUAGUUGGUAAGGUAACGGGUUACCAAGGCAACGCUGCGUGGCCGACCUGAGAGGGGGGUCGGCCACACGAGAGCUGAGACACGGUCCAGACUCCUACGGGAGGCAGCAGAAUGCAAUCGUCCGCAAUAGGCGAAAGCCUUACGGAGCAACGCCGCGUGAGUGAUGAAAGUCUUCCGAUCGUAAAGCUCGGUUAUUAGGUAAGAACAAAUGUGUAAGUAACUAUGCACGUCGUGACGGUACCUAGUCAGAAAGCCACGGCUAACUACGUG